RNAcentral lists this ribosomal RNA (484 nucleotides) under uncultured bacterium. Its description in RNAcentral is "partial 16S ribosomal RNA". It matches the Rfam family "Bacterial small subunit ribosomal RNA", at positions 30 to 507 of the family's 1533-position model. The record is from RNAcentral.
AUUGAACGCUGGCGGCAGGCCUAACACAUGCAAGUCGAGCGGAUGAAGGGAGCUUGCUCCUGGAUUCAGCGGCGGACGGGUGAGUAAUGCCUAGGAAUCUGCCUGGUAGUGGGGGAUAACGUCCGGAAACGGGCGCUAAUACCGCAUACGUCCUGCGGGAGAAAGUGGGGGAUCUUCGGACCUCACGCUAUCAGAUGAGCCUAGGUCGGAUUAGCUAGUUGGUGGGGUAAAGGCCUACCAAGGCGACGAUCCGUAACUGGUCUGAGAGGAUGAUCAGUCACACUGGAACUGAGACACGGUCCAGGCGCCUACGGGAGGCAGCAGUGGGGAAUAUUGGACAAUGGGCGAAAGCCUGAUCCAGCCAUGCCGCGUGUGUGAAGAAGGUCUUCGGAUUGUAAAGCACUUUAAGUUGGGAGGAAGGGCAGUAAGUUAAUACCUUGCUGUUUUGACGUUACCAACAGAAUAAGCACCGGCUAACUUCGUG